UACGAAGGGGGCUAGCGUUGCUCGGAAUCACUGGGCGUAAAGCGCACGUAGGCGGAUUGUUAAGUCAGGGGUGAAAUCCUGGAGCUCAACUCCAGAACUGCCUUUGAUACUGGCGAUCUUGAGUCCGGGAGAGGUGAGUGGAACUGCGAGUGUAGAGGUGAAAUUCGUAGAUAUUCGCAAGAACACCCGUGGCGAAGGCGGCUCUCUGGGACGGUACUGACGCUGAGACGCGAAAGCGUGGGGAGCGAACAGG
This 253-nucleotide ribosomal RNA is filed under the name uncultured bacterium. Its description in RNAcentral is "partial 16S ribosomal RNA". It matches the Rfam family "Bacterial small subunit ribosomal RNA", at positions 524 to 776 of the family's 1533-position model. The record is from RNAcentral.